GCAUUAAGAACGAGAGAAACAUCUUUGAAGGGCUGCACAACGAAGGAAGAAAUCGAGAGCGAUCGAUCUAGCACUAGGGAUCAAUCGGGCUGAUUACACGGCGUCGUAGGACUGCAUCAAGCCACGACACACACAUGGAAAAGAAGAAAAAUCGAUCUCCAAAGAUCGAUCAGAAUACUACUUUACAUCAAUGCAAUCAAUCAUUGAUUGAUCUACAAACUAAUCAUCGUUUUGUUUUCAUAUUUUCCUAUCGGAAUGGAGAAACCAAUCUCUGGAACCAAUCGAUCAAGGAAGAAAUUAAUCUCUAAGAAGACCAAGAGGAAGAACAGAGAAAAGGAAGAAACCGAUCUCAAGAAAUCUCUGAAAAUCGAUUGGAUCAAUCAAAUCAGAGAAUAUCAAGAAAUCAUAACGGUAAGUAAGAAAUCAAGUUAUUUCUCACCGUUUUCUCCAGAUCUGUGGUUGCUUGCAGCCAUGAAGGCUACCUUUUGCUUCUGCGCCCCUGCAUCUUCGUCGUUUUUUAGUCGUCGUCAACGCACAUGGUACACCAACGGCCAUGCCGUCUUCGGGGCGGCGCAGCCGUCGCCUGACGACCUCCGUCCCAACUCGGCCCUCGGCACAGCCCCGCUCCACCAAGAGCAGGCGGUCGUAGGCCUCAAUGCCAGCCCACGGGCGUCGCUCUCGGCUCCGUGCGGCGUCCAAUCGGUGGCACACCAUGAUUUGCGGCGACGAGCAGCCUCGCUCCUCAGCGCCUCGGCUCCACGCGGCAACGGCCAACCAGCAACGCGCGACGGCGCAAUCUCCAGUGGCAGCACUUUGCCACAGCCCUCCUCCCCGCGAGAACCUCGAGCACGGCGUCCAAUCAGUGGCACACCAUGGCGCGGUCCUUCCCGGCGCUCGCCCUCCAGCCACCGUCGCUACCCCUCAGCCUCACCUCCACCACGAUCUGGCGGUAGUGGUUUCGGGGUGAAUCCCCUUGCAGGGUGAAUCCCCAACAGAUGGGAUGGAUGGGGAUUUUUUGUCAAUUUUUGAUUUAGUCCUCAUACUUUAUCAUAAUUCAGCGGACGAAUUUCUGUAGGCCCUCAGGCUUGCUAGUUUGCAAAUAGAACCCGGUUUAUACGGACAAUUGCGAACAAGUCCAACUAACAGUACUGUAGACACAGUACUUGUCAUGUUUUGGCUAUCAUGUUAAUUUUUAUUUACAUCCCAAUGCA
This 1211-nucleotide long non-coding RNA is filed under the name Brachypodium distachyon (stiff brome). Its description in RNAcentral is "long non-coding RNA (BDIS_LNC003467)". Lineage: Eukaryota; Viridiplantae; Streptophyta; Magnoliopsida; Poales; Poaceae. The record is from RNAcentral.